This 484-nucleotide ribosomal RNA is filed under the name uncultured bacterium. RNAcentral's name for it is "partial 16S ribosomal RNA". It matches the Rfam family "Bacterial small subunit ribosomal RNA", at positions 30 to 507 of the family's 1533-position model. The record is from RNAcentral.
AUUGAACGCGGGCGGCAGGCCGAACACAUGCAAGUCGAGCGGAUGAAGGGAGCUUGCUCCUGGAUUCAGCGGCGGACGGGUGAGUAAUGCCUAGGAAUCUGCCUGGUAGUGGGGGAUAACGUCCGGAAACGGGCGCUAAUACCGCAUACGUCCUGAGGGAGAAAGUGGGGGAUCUUCGGACCUCACGCUAUCAGAUGAGCCUAGGUCGGAUUAGCUAGUUGGUGGGGUAAAGGCCUACCAAGGCGACGAUCCGUAACUGGUCUGAGAGGAUGAUCAGUCACACUGGAACUGAGACACGGUCCAGACUCCUACGGGAGGCAGCAGUGGGGAAUAUUGGACAAAGGGCGAAAGCCUGAUCCAGCCAUGCCGCGUGUGUGAAGAAGGUCUUCGGAUUGUAAAGCACUUUAAGUUGGGAGGAAGGGCAGUAAGUUAAUACCUUGCUGUUUUGACGUUACCAACAGAAUAAGCACCGGCUAACUUCGUG